RNAcentral lists this ribosomal RNA (497 nucleotides) under uncultured bacterium. Its description in RNAcentral is "partial 16S ribosomal RNA". It matches the Rfam family "Bacterial small subunit ribosomal RNA", at positions 28 to 507 of the family's 1533-position model. The record is from RNAcentral.
GACGAACGCUGGCGGCGUGCCUAAUACAUGCAAGUUGAGCGCUGAAGGUUGGUACUUGUACCAACUGGAUGAGCAGCGAACGGGUGAGUAACGCGUGGGGAAUCUGCCUUUGAGCGGGGGACAACAUUUGGAAACGAAUGCUAAUACCGCAUAAAAACUUUAAACACAAGUUUUAAGUUUGAAAGAUGCAAUUGCAUCACUCAAAGAUGAUCCCGCGUUGUAUUAGCUAGUUGGUGAGGUAAAGGCUCACCAAGGCGAUGAUACAUAGCCGACCUGAGAGGGUGAUCGGCCACAUUGGGACUGAGACACGGCCCAAACUCCUACGGGAGGCAGCAGUAGGGAAUCUUCGGCAAUGGACGAAAGUCUGACCGAGCAACGCCGCGUGAGUGAAGAAGGGUUUCGGAUCGUAAAACUCUGUUGGUAGAGAAGAACGUUGGUGAGAGUGGAAAGCUCACCAAGUGACGGUAACUACCCAGAAAGGGACGGCUAACUACGUG